AAGUCGUAACAAGGUAACCGUAGGUGAACCUGCGGUUGGAUCAUUACUAAAUGAUUUUGUUUUCUUCUUUUGAGCUUUGUGAAAGCAGAGCUCGAGAAGAGGACAUUCACACCCACUGUGCACUAUAUUGUUUUUCGAGUUUUUGCAAGGCUACCUUUAACCGUAGCAGAGCAGAGACUCGGCCGUAAAAAACCCCUUUUAAACUUGCCUGAAUUUUUUAUAACACAUAAAAGAUAAACAACUUUUGACAACGGAUCUCUUGGCUCUC
This 268-nucleotide unclassified non-coding RNA is filed under the name fungal sp. RNAcentral's name for it is "partial internal transcribed spacer region". The stretch from base 1 to 46 matches the Rfam family "Eukaryotic small subunit ribosomal RNA", at positions 1786 to 1831 of the family's 1831-position model. Lineage: Eukaryota; Fungi. The record is from RNAcentral.